GUGGGGGAUAUUGCACAAUGGAGGAAACUCUGAUGCAGCGACGCCGCGUGAGUGAAGAAGUAUUUCGGUAUGUAAAGCUCUAUCAGCAGGGAAGAUAAUGACAGUACCUGACUAAGAAGCCCCGGCUAACUACGUGCCAGCAGCCGCGGUAAUACGUAGGGGGCAAGCGUUAUCCGGAUUUACUGGGUGUAAAGGGAGCGUAGACGGAAUGGCAAGUCUGAAGUGAAAUCCUGCGGCUUAACUGCAGAAUUGCUUUGGGAACUAUCUAUCUGGAGUUUUGGAGAGGUAGGCUGAAUUCCUGGUGUAGCCGUAAAAUGCGUAGAUAUAAGGAAGAACACCAGUGGCGAAGGCGACGAUCUGGGCCUGAACUGACGCUGAGUAGCGAAAGCUAGGGGAGCAAACGGGAUUAGAAACCCGGGUAGUCC
This 425-nucleotide ribosomal RNA is filed under the name uncultured bacterium. RNAcentral describes it as "partial 16S ribosomal RNA". It matches the Rfam family "Bacterial small subunit ribosomal RNA", at positions 354 to 796 of the family's 1533-position model. The record is from RNAcentral.